This 256-nucleotide ribosomal RNA is filed under the name uncultured bacterium. RNAcentral describes it as "partial 16S ribosomal RNA". It matches the Rfam family "Bacterial small subunit ribosomal RNA", at positions 524 to 776 of the family's 1533-position model. The record is from RNAcentral.
UACGUAGGGGGGCAAGCGUUUGUCCGGAUUUAUUGGGCGUAAAGAGCGUGUAGGCGGCCUUACAGGUCAGCUGUGAAAACUCGAGGCUCAACCUCGAGACGUCGGUUGAAACCGUAAGGCUAGAGUCCGGAAGAGGAGAGUGGAAUUCCCGGUGUAGCGGUGAAAUGCGCAGAUAUCGGGGAAGAACACCCGUGGCGAAGGCGGCUCUCUGGGACGGUACUGACGCUGAGACGCGAAAGCGUGGGGAGCGAACAGG